Molecule: unclassified non-coding RNA, 253 nt
Filed under: uncultured Oligoflexales bacterium
Lineage: Bacteria; Pseudomonadati; Bdellovibrionota; Oligoflexia; Oligoflexales
Description: contains 16S-23S intergenic spacer region
Rfam family: Bacterial small subunit ribosomal RNA
Source: RNAcentral
UACGGAGGGUGCAAGCGUUGCUCGGAAUUAUUGGGCGUAAAGGGCAGGUAGGUGGUCUCAUUUGUCUGGGGUGAAAUCCCGGGGCUCAACCUCGGAAGUGCCUCAGAAACGGUGAGACUAGAGUCCUGGAGAGGCGAGUGGAAUUCCCGGUGUAGCGGUGAAAUGCGUAGAGAUCGGGAGGAACACCAGAGGCGAAGGCGGCUCGCUGGACAGGAACUGACACUCAACUGCGAAAGCGUGGGGAGCAAACAGG